Molecule: long non-coding RNA, 504 nt
Organism: Amphimedon queenslandica
Lineage: Eukaryota; Metazoa; Porifera; Demospongiae; Haplosclerida; Niphatidae
Exons: 3
Source: RefSeq, a predicted model, not a curated record
GCUAGGAUUGUCAUCCUUCAGCAUGGUAUUUUAUUUGCUGCAAAUAUUCUAUACUAAAACAAUAAGCAUAAUGUUGAAGCAUAGCAUACUAAAUGAAGUAAAGCUGGUUGCUGCUUCAAGCAUUCAGUAGAAGAGUGAAAAUCUAUUCUUCCACUCAUGUUUUGUAAAUUUAGCUUCCGCUUCCAACAAUUUACGGAGCUUUACUAAAAAAGUAGCUUCUGUUUUUUGGGCAUCGAAGGAGCCGACGAAGGAGCAGAUACAGCAAGAUCCAGACAAAGAGCAGCAACAGCUUCUUCAAGAAAAGGCAAGACUUACUCAGCAACUUGUUGAUGCUACCACUCUCCUUGAGCAAGCAGAAAAGGAUAAAUCAAGUCUUGAAUUAGAAUAUUAUAAAAAGCUUGAAGCUCAAAUUGCUGAUAAUAAAGUAUAUGUAACUGAAAUAUUGGAGAAGAAGCAGAUUAUUACUGAAGAUUAUGAGAAACUGAAACUCAAAGUUGCUGAACA